RNAcentral lists this long non-coding RNA (4493 nucleotides) under Mytilus galloprovincialis (Mediterranean mussel). Lineage: Eukaryota; Metazoa; Mollusca; Bivalvia; Mytilida; Mytilidae. The record is from RNAcentral.
ACAUACCUACCAAAAAAUAAGAAUUUCUCCCGCAAUGCCAUAGGUCGUGCUUCUGCAGCAGUCUUGAAAGUAAAUAAUAAUAGAGAUGUUGCCUUGGUUAAAACUCUAAAAGCUGUUGGCUGCACAAUGGGUAAAAGUCUCGUGCUGCAGUAGCUCUGAAAAAAUACGUAAACUUGAAAUGUAUGAUAGUGCAUAUCAAAAAAGUUCAAAAGUAAAAUAUCGAAGGUUACAGGCUCGUAAAAGGCAGGCGAUUAAUUUCUCUGCUUCACAAAAGUAACCGAAUGACGGGUACAAAAAACAUCAGUUGGAACCAAAGCUUAGUCAGUUAACUAACUGCAAAGAGUUUGUUCCGCAGCCUGGUUGUAGUUUUUGGCCAGAUUAACAAGGUCAUAAUUCCCAUUUCUCUUUCAGCUAUUUCAGGAAAUAGUACAUGUACAAAUGUAUUAAUUUAUUUAGCUAUUUAUUUAUUUUUUAUGAUUACAGGACUAAUAAAUGUUAUAUAAAUUAUUGUGAUGAUAAAUCAAAAUCUUUUUCAGUAAUAUGCAUGUGCAUGUUGUUUUGAGUUGAAUUAUUUCUAUAAAUAAAGAGUUUGUUUCAUUUUAACUGUUUUGAAAUGGGAUAAAGGUCCAAGACAUUGAAACAUACCACACACAGCAUCAUACAUGCAAAUUUAGACACAUGUAUAUAUUGCAUAAAAAUUUGUGUUUCCUAUACUGCACACAUUAGUUGAAACUGAACAUACAAGGAAAUAAAAUAAAAUAAAAUAAAAUAAAAUCAUGUCCAUAUUUACUUCCAUUCUGUAAUUUUGCAACUAUUUUAGUUCUGUAGACUUUUUCUUUUACUUUUUGAUAUCCUAAUUUAUAAAUUUUGUAGUUUUUGUUUGAUUUGUUUGGUUUUUAUAUUGAGGAUUUCUUUUCACUCGUGCUUACUUCAGUUGGUUCAUGUGGUUGAUUGUCCCAAUUUCCUGACACAGGUAAAAAUACAUUUGUAAACAACAAGAGUUACUCCCCCUUCUAUGUAAAGUAAAAUGUAAACACUCGUGAAACCAGCCGUAAAUGUUUUACCUCAGGUUAAUAAACAUGCAUGUUUGUUUCAGUGUCUUGGAGGGUAAGAGGGAGGGCUUUUAUCCCAUUUUCAUUUUUUUGAGCAGUGUAAGAAACUUGUAUUUGAGUAAAUGAUUCGUGCAUAAUGAAAUGUGCAGUUGUCACCUCGGGGAGACUUAAAUUUUAGAAUUAAAAAUAUAACAAACCACAGUUUAAGAUGCAGCAUGCAGUUAGGAUAUGUUGUGCCAUGCAGUUCAUGAGUGGUGCAUUUUUGUGAAGCUACACAGACCUUACGGUGGUUAUUUAAAUCAUGGGGCUCAAAAAUUAUAUGGUCAGCAUUAACACACAAGGCAUUAUGACAGAGAUGGGAGGCAUCUAAAUUUCUAUCAAUAUCAAUUGUUUUUAGCUGCAACAUUUUUGACAAGCGUGCAACAUUCAUUUUUGUCCUUUUUCCAUUUGGAUAAGCCACAUUUAGCAUCCCUAACAUAUAAUUUCUUUUCCUCUGAAUGGCCCCUGUCCAGAUUUUACACGACCCAUUUCUGCAUCAAUGCAAUUUAACAACAGAAUAUUGGUAUAUUUUUGAUAAAAAUCAAAAGUUUGAGAAGCCAUUUUGUAUUGUUUUGAUUAAUUAGCACUAACAAAGAGUGUAACUGGACCUUGAUUUUCAGUCAGCUUUCAUCCUAAUAUUGUAGUCACUGAGCCAUGAAACACUCCAUCACCUUUGAAAUUAAAGUCACAAGAUGGGUCAAUAUGCGCAUUAGAUUCUCCAUUUAGAUCAGCUAAUGUCAGAUUCCACUUAUUUUGCAGUUUGUAUCCCUUCAGUACACAUUUCUGAACAAUUCUGUGAAGUUUUAGCCAUAUCUGAAAUAAAAAAGGUCAUUUUAAUACUUUUAGGUAGCAAUGUUAUAAACUGUUUAAUAUCAUUUUUAAGAAAGAAAAAAACACAAUAAGCAUAUGCUAUAAUUUUCAUUUUAAACAUUUGUUUUAACUUUUUUUGGUAUAACUGCAAUUCAUAAGCCUCUUUUUACCUUACAGACUUCUACAAAUCAUCUUUUUUGUUGAUAAAUCAUGAAAAUAUAGUGUUUUUCACUUAAAAACUAUCAGAUUUAAGAAAUUUUUCCACCCUGAGAAUCUUGUUUUCUAUUAUAUUUUUUUUUAUUGAAUAAAAAGCUCUAUAUCUUUGCAUUACUGUAAAGAUUAGUCAUAGACCUUUCCAAAACUAGUCUUGUUUUUAAAAUCCAUCAAGUAAUAAGAAUUUUAGAGUUUUCUUUGUAUGUGUCAUGAAAGUGGGAAAAAUGGGUUAUUUUUUGGUGAAGAGUACAUUGUGAGUCAUGGUUUUUGUGACGUCAUUGCAUUAUGACAUCAUAAUUAGAGUUGUACACAACUUACAGAGUGUAGUAAUUUUGAAAAAUGAAAGGAAAAAGAAACGAAACAAAUUUAAGGUUGGUAACCAAGCAUUUUUAUCACGUUAUGAUUCCCUAGCAACAAAUCAAGAUUGCAAUGGUGUUGCUCUCUCUACAGCUCCAUCUACACAGGUUUUAAAAAAUUCAUCUAUGCAAGUAUCAUCUGCAUCAUCUAAAAGUGAAUUUACUAAUUCAACUACAAAUGUAUUGCCAAAAAAACCCACUGAAUCCCUCUGGUUACCCCGCCUUACUGAAAAGGAUUUUAAAUUGUAUUCUAAAGAAAGUUAUGAUAAGAAGUCAUAUGUAGCACCUCAGACUGAAAAGUGUGCUACUACCGUGAAACUCCUUCGUCACAUAAAGUGUCUGAUGACUAUUUGGAUGAAUAUUUAGGGGAUAUAAAUACCAGAAUAGAACAGUGGAUAGAGAUUUAAAUAUUUUAAUGAUGAAUAAUCUAAUAAUCGUCAUAUAAAUGAAAGUCCACAUUGUAAUGUUCCACAUUUUGAACUUGUGCAAGAGACUCAGUGGGGUCUCGGUGGAUUUGGGAAUUAAAAUGUACAAAGUGUAAGUUUAUAUCAAAAAAUAUAAACUGUUUAGAGAAAUUGAGACUGGGCGUCCUGGCCGCAAGAGUGCCAGCAUAAACUAUGGGUUUCAAACUGGUGUAAUAAACUCUAACAUAGGUAAUGAUAGCGCGCGAGUACUUUUGACCAGUUCGUGUAUUCCUCCUAUGGCAAGAACAACAAUGCAAAGAAUAACCAAUAAUGUAUGUGACAAGGUUGUUAAACUUGCUAAUGAGGAAAACAAAAGGUGGUUGAGAAUUUUAAAAGGAGAAAUGAAACCUUGGGGUUAAAUAAAAAUAGUCCAAUAAAAUUACAAAUGGAUGGUACUUACCAGAGUGUUUAUAUUAAAAGUAGACAUAAAAUGGGUCAAAAUGCCUCACAAGCAAUUGCAUUGCCUGUGAGAAUGAAACUGACAGUCAUGAUGUUAUAGGACUUCACUUAAUAAACAAACUAUGCUGGGUCGGUGCAUGGUUACGGGUAAAGGUUAUGAUGUUGAAUGUCCUAACCAUGAGCAUUGUACAGCAAAUACCAAUAGGUAGAUCCUUUGAGUGAAAAGAGUCUAGGGUAUGAAAUAGGUAAAAAAAUUGCCACAAAUGAGUUACUUGUAGAUUAUUGCACUACUGAUGGUGAUGCAAAAAGUGUAAAAGGUUUACAAGAGGCCAUGCAAGAGGUAUUUGGUCCUUAUGGUCGGUUAACAGACUUGCCGAUACAUUCAUAGGGUCAAAGUCAGUUCCGUGAAGGAAUUCGAGCAAAUUUUAGUGUGGUAUGUUCCCUGGUGUAACAAAAGCUCAGAAAAAUGAUAUAAAAACAGCUUUUGCAAAUGAUAUAAAACUAAGGUCGCAUGGUAUAAUGAAAUCAUUAUUUAUGAAGUACAAUGUGACCGACAACAAAUUUCAAAAUGCUUGCCUGGUAUUGUUCGGUCUGUGGUAAAUUGCUACAGUGGUAAUUGCGGUGAUACGUGUAGAUGGAGCAUAACACUUUGUAAUGGUGGUAAAAAAACAAGCUGGUGUAUAAAUCAAUAAACCUAAAUAGCCAUGGCUUACAAAAUGGGUCUCUGAUACCAACUGACAGAGACAAAUUAUUAAUAGAAUCAUUGCUAGAGAUGAACUCUCGCAGAGUGCGUUAGAUCAAAUGAAAUUUUUCAGUAACACUAACAAGUGUGAGUCUGUAAAUAGGACUAUUUCCACAUACCUACCAAAAAAUAAGAAUUUCUCCCGCAAUGCCAUAGGUCGUGCUUCUGCAGCAGUCUUGAAAGUAAAUAAUAAUAGAGAUGUUGCCUUGGUUAAAACUCUAAAAGUGUUGGCUGCACAAUGGGUAAAAAGUCUCGUGCUGCAGUAGCUCUGAAAAAAAUACGUAAACUUGAAAUGUAUGAUAGUGCAUAUUCAAAAAAGUUCAAAAGUAAAAUAUCGAAGGUUACAGGCUCGUAAAAGGCAGGCGAUUAAUUUUCUGCUUCACAAAAGUAACCGAAAUGACGGUACAAAAAACAUCAG